Molecule: ribosomal RNA, 254 nt
Filed under: uncultured bacterium
Lineage: Bacteria
Description: partial 16S ribosomal RNA
Rfam family: Bacterial small subunit ribosomal RNA
Source: RNAcentral
CACGUAGGGUGCGAGCGUUGUCCGGAAUUAUUGGGCGUAAAGAGCUCGUAGGCGGUGUGUCGCGUCGGCCGUGAAAACCUGCAGCUUAACUGUGGGCUUGCGGUCGAUACGGGCAUCACUGGAGUUCGGCAGGGGAGACUGGAAUUCCUGGUGUAGCGGUGAAAUGCGCAGAUAUCAGGAGGAACACCGGUGGCGAAGGCGGGUCUCUGGGCCGAUACUGACGCUGAGGAGAGAAAGCGUGGGGAGCGAACAGG